UACAGAGGUCUCAAGCGUUGUUCGGAUUUAUUGGGCGUAAAGGGCGCGUAGGCGGCGGGGUAAGUCGGGUGUGAAAUUUCGGAGCUUAACUCCGAAACUGCAUUCGAUACUGCCGUGCUAGAGUGCUGGAGAGGAGAUUGGAAUUUACGGUGUAGCAGUGAAAUGCGUAGAUAUCGUAAGGAAGACCAGUGGCGAAGGCGGAUCUCUGGACAGCUACUGACACUGAGGCACGAAGGCCAGGGGAGCAAAACGGGG
Molecule: ribosomal RNA, 255 nt
Filed under: uncultured bacterium
Lineage: Bacteria
Description: partial 16S ribosomal RNA
Rfam family: Bacterial small subunit ribosomal RNA
Source: RNAcentral